This 131-nucleotide small nucleolar RNA is filed under the name Drosophila yakuba. Its description in RNAcentral is "snoRNA:GE27008". Lineage: Eukaryota; Metazoa; Arthropoda; Insecta; Diptera; Drosophilidae. The record is from RNAcentral.
UUGGAGCCAAAGUGGCACACUAAAGCACUUUUUAUUUUUGUCUCGAAUGCUCCCAUAUGAAAUGGCAAAUACGAACGGCAUCCUGAAUAAUUAAGCAUAUUAUAACAGAUGACUUGAGUUCGUGUACACUA